CAUAUAUUUUAAUAGAACUCCUCUUCUUUAGGAAUAGGUAUUCAAGUAUUCAGACGUUUCUGAGUACUGAUACAGAGCUCAUUCUCGAGGCAGCAAAUGAAGCGCACAUGAAGGAUGGAACACUACUGGAAAAUCUGUCUGAAAGGAUAUUGAGCACACUCAGGAAGAGUUUGGAAGAAUUGCAACUGUUGCUCUUGAGUCCACCUUUAUGCAGAAGCUGGAUGAAUAUACACCAAAAUUAUUGGACUUGUUUAAGUCAAGAGGAGGUGCUGUAAAGGAGGACAUGCAGAAAAUCCUUGAAGUCCUGUACGGGUGCAACACCAUCUAGGAAAGAAGAGACCGUGUGAUCUGUGACCUGAUCAUAUCCCCCGGCGAGAGAGUUGGAGACCUUAUCACAGAAUACAAGGAUGCUGACAACACCAUGAUCCGAGAGGACCUCGUUCAGCAUGUGAUGGUGUCAUGUGAUCAAGGAGCACUGUGAAGGAUCUGCAUCGAAGGAGCAGAGGUCCUGGCUGGUAUUCCAGUCAUGUAACUUGCUUAUGGGCCUCAGAUUUAAGCCAUAGAUAAGGUACCCCAAAGAACUGAAGUAUACCUUUUGAGGUGGUCCAACAAGUAUUCUUUGAACUUGAUGAUCUUAGGACAUCCCUAUGGGUCCAAGCUCUAAAAAUGAAGUUACUUGUUUUCAAAGAUAUCUGAGAACUCUCAAAUGGCCACUCACAAACUGUGGUCUAAACCCUACUCAGUAAGCUGAAAAGCUAGGUGGUAUAGGAGCUACAGCUUACAUGAUGACAACUUACUCCAUAUGCACUAGUGGAUAUCUGAGUUUUUUUGUCAGGUGUAAGCUAUCUGGAUGUAACUUUACCUAAGGAGGCAAGGUAUAGUUAUACCCAGAAUGCUUACAGAUGAUUGUCACAGCUGGCUGAAGGACUGGACCAAAGUGCAGCAUGGUAAGUGUACAUUUUCUCUUUAUUCAAAAAUGAC
Oncorhynchus gorbuscha (pink salmon) is the source of this 981-nucleotide long non-coding RNA. RefSeq lists it as uncharacterized. Lineage: Eukaryota; Metazoa; Chordata; Actinopteri; Salmoniformes; Salmonidae. The transcript is spliced from 4 exons. The record is from RefSeq and is a predicted model, not a curated record.